ACCGUCGGGUAUCAUUGCUAGAUGGUCACUUCGAUUGGUAUAAAAAUUUAUUUUUAUACUAUCUACUUAGGUUCGGAUCUAUGAGAUCACAUACAUUAGAGUUCACGAUCUGAUCGGAUGGUUGAUCAACGAUUAAGAAUCGUUCUAGGGUUAAACGAUCAAUAUGAUUGACAUUUAACCUAGUGCAAGUGUUGCAGGAGGAUCGAUUAGUAAUU
This 215-nucleotide long non-coding RNA is filed under the name Elaeis guineensis (African oil palm). Its description in RNAcentral is "long non-coding RNA (EGUI_LNC049352)". Lineage: Eukaryota; Viridiplantae; Streptophyta; Magnoliopsida; Arecales; Arecaceae. The record is from RNAcentral.